RNAcentral lists this ribosomal RNA (396 nucleotides) under uncultured bacterium. RNAcentral describes it as "bacterial SSU rRNA". It matches the Rfam family "Bacterial small subunit ribosomal RNA", at positions 30 to 429 of the family's 1533-position model. The record is from RNAcentral.
AUUGAACGCUGGCGGCAUGCCUUACACAUGCAAGUCGAACGGCAGCGGACCUUCGGGCGCCGGCGAGUGGCGAACGGGUGAGUAAUAUAUCGGAACGUACCUUUCAGUGGGGGAUAACGUAGCGAAAGUUACGCUAAUACCGCAUAUUCUGUGAGCAGGAAAGCAGGGGAUCGCAAGACCUUGCGCUGAUUGAGCGGCCGAUAUCAGAUUAGCUAGUUGGUGAGGUAAAGGCUCACCAAGGCGACGAUCUGUAGCGGGUCUGAGAGGAUGAUCCGCCACACUGGAACUGAGACACGGUCCAGACUCCUACGGGAGGCAGCAGUGGGGAAUUUUGGACAAUGGGCGCAAGCCUGAUCCAGCCAUGCCGCGUGAGUGAAGAAGGCCUUCGGUUGUAAG